Molecule: transfer RNA, 65 nt
Filed under: Pagurus longicarpus (long-clawed hermit crab)
Lineage: Eukaryota; Metazoa; Arthropoda; Malacostraca; Decapoda; Paguridae
Description: tRNA-Leu
Source: RNAcentral
UCUAAAAUGGCAGAAUAAUGCCUAAGAUUUAGGAUCUUAUCAUGGAUAGUAAUAUCCUUUUAGAA